CACUUAAGGAAUUCCCGCUGAACAGAAAUCAGCCAAUCAGCAUCCACUCUAAUCUGCCCAGCAACAGCCGGCCCUGUAAGAGAUCUCAGCACCACUAGAGAGCCAGAAAAAAUUCACUUUUCAGAAAAACAAGGAUCACAAAUGAGGUGAACACAGGCCACCUCAUUCAGGAGGAGACGGAAUGGAGAGGGGUUCAUACAUAUGUGUCGCUCUCUGCGUUUAAGUCUAUAGAAGUCAUCCCAAUGAGAAUCACAUCAAUGCUGUCAUUGGAAUGAAUGAAGAAUGAAGGAAUGAAGAAGUGAAUUCCAAACACAGACAUAGCACAAUAAAAGC
Long non-coding RNA from Hyla sarda, 333 nucleotides. RefSeq lists it as uncharacterized. Lineage: Eukaryota; Metazoa; Chordata; Amphibia; Anura; Hylidae. The transcript is spliced from 3 exons. The record is from RefSeq and is a predicted model, not a curated record.